This 69-nucleotide transfer RNA is filed under the name Ailurus fulgens (lesser panda). RNAcentral describes it as "tRNA-Glu". It matches the Rfam family "tRNA". Rfam says of the family: Transfer RNA (tRNA) molecules are approximately 80 nucleotides in length. Their secondary structure includes four short double-helical elements and three loops (D, anti-codon, and T loops). Further hydrogen bonds mediate the characteristic L-shaped molecular structure. tRNAs have two regions of fundamental functional importance: the anti-codon, which is responsible for specific mRNA codon recognition, and the 3' end, to which the tRNAs corresponding amino acid is attached (by aminoacyl-tRNA synthetases). tRNAs cope with the degeneracy of the genetic code in two manners: having more than one tRNA (with a specific anti-codon) for a particular amino acid; and 'wobble' base-pairing, i.e. permitting non-standard base-pairing at the 3rd anti-codon position. The record is from RNAcentral. RNAcentral also lists the same sequence under 1 other name. Lineage: Eukaryota; Metazoa; Chordata; Mammalia; Carnivora; Ailuridae.
GUUCCUAUAGUUGAAUUACAACGGUGGUUUUUCAUGUCGCUGGUCAUGGUUAGUUUCCAUGUAGGAAUA